AUAAUAUAUGAUGAUGAGAUGGCUCACUUUAUCCUCAACGGCUUUGAUUUUGAGUAUAAUCCAUUCGUAAAAUCGAUGUUUGGUCGUGUUGGAUCUGUUUCCUUGAGUGAACUGUACUCUCAGAUCCUAGCCUAUGAU
This 138-nucleotide small nucleolar RNA is filed under the name Setaria italica (foxtail millet). Its description in RNAcentral is "Small nucleolar RNA Z247". It matches the Rfam family "Small nucleolar RNA Z247". From Rfam's summary of the family: Z247 is a member of the C/D class of snoRNA which contain the C (UGAUGA) and D (CUGA) box motifs. Lineage: Eukaryota; Viridiplantae; Streptophyta; Magnoliopsida; Poales; Poaceae. The record is from Rfam by way of RNAcentral.